CUGCUCCACGGGGCGCAGCAGUAGGGAAUCUUCCACAAUGGGCGAAAGCCUGAUGGAGCAACGCCGCGUGGGUGUAGAAGGUCUUCGGAUCGUAAAACCCUGUUGUUAGAGAAGAAAGUGCGUGAGAGUAACUGUUCACGUUUCGACGGUAUCUAACCAGAAAGCCACGGCUAACUACGUGCCAGCAGCCGCGGUGAUACGUAGGUGGCAAGCGUUAUCCGGAUUUAUUGGGCGUAAAGAGAACGCAGGCGGUCUUUUAAGUCUGAUGUGAAAGCCUUCGGCUUAACCGGAGUAGUGCAUUGGAA
Molecule: ribosomal RNA, 305 nt
Filed under: uncultured bacterium
Lineage: Bacteria
Description: bacterial SSU rRNA
Rfam family: Bacterial small subunit ribosomal RNA
Source: RNAcentral